Molecule: long non-coding RNA, 9494 nt
Organism: Gallus gallus (chicken)
Lineage: Eukaryota; Metazoa; Chordata; Aves; Galliformes; Phasianidae
Source: Ensembl
CGCCGACCACCCCAUGCUGGGCGCCCAUUGGCCGCGCCGGGCGCUCUCGUGAGGCGGGGCUCGGCGCGGAGACACAGAGGACGGCGCGAGAGGCGGGAGAAGAGAAGGAAGGAGGGAGGCGAUGCGGGGGGGAUGAGAUGGGCGGCGGCGCGCGCAGGUGUGCAUGUGAGGAGCGGCUGAGGGCGAUAUGCGCAUGCGUGCGCGCCGCCGUUGCCGUCACCCAGCGCACGUGGCCGCGCACCUUCACCGUGAGAGCCGCGCUCGAAGCGCGGGCGUCUCCUUAGCGCCGCCGCUGGCCCGUGUGGAGACGCCGUCUGUGGCGGGGUGAUCACGUCGUCACGAGGGGCCGGCAGAAGUCCCGGAGGGGAAAUAUGUCUGCGUGAGUGUUUGGGACCGACGAUCCUAAGACGCAGCCGCCCCGAGCAGCCUCACUGCCUGAGGUGGCCCUGCUGGCCCGGCAUCGGCAUCUCCUGUACUGCCUGAGGGGUGGCCCUCGGACAUGGCGGCCGCUGCCUCUGCACUGCCACCUCUAGCUGGAAUAUGACUCACAGCAGUUCAGACGUUACGUUCCGAGGGCACAGAGGCCCUGUCAGUCACAUCCAGCCCACUCCGUUGGAGUGGGAGCACAGCCCUAGAAGGUCACUGAGCCCCAGCGUCUGCCAGCACACCUGCCACUGCAACCAGGGCAAGCGGCCUUUAAAUAACCCUUUUUGUCCCUUUCCACCUGUUGUGGAAGAGCUCAGUGCAGCCUCAUAGCUACAGUGAGCCCUGUUUUGCUCUUAAAGUAACAGCUGAGCCACUCUUUUCUACCAAAAAUGCUGCAUAUCACUCGCAAGUGAAUAUCAUGAUGCAGAUCAAGCUAAGAAACAGACACAGCUUUGAUGAAGUAGAAACUUGCCCUUUGUGGUUUGCUUUCCAGUCACACAACAUUCUCACAUUCUCUCUGCCUCCCUUUCCUUUCCUUGGCCGCCUCCUCAAGUUGCCCUUCCAAUGCACUUAGCCAACAAGGCCUGGAUCAGCUCCUGCCUCCUCAGAGGCACCACUAUAGUAUCCCACUUCCCGUUCACACCUUUUGCUUCCAAAUCCCAAGGUUUUUUUCCUUUGUGUUCCUUGCUGUCACUUCCUGCCAGCUACGUCUGCUCCCACUGCCACCCACAACUGCUGUGGCACAACCACAGUUUGCACUGUGCUUCCCCAUGCAAACAGGAGAGGAGCUGCCACCUGUGCUAGACAAAGCAACAAAGCAUCACAACUUAAUGCAAGAUGAUCAACUUCUCCCCUCGAGGGUGGUCUCAAGGCCUUCCUGAUACCCAACACAGCAACAAAGCUUCUCUUGUGCUCUGUCUGCAUCUCCCGAGAUUGAUUAAUAUGGAUGUUUUCACACUCAGACAAGUUUGUAUUCCUGCUCUUCUCUGAACUUCAAGUUGUAUGGUUGAAGGUACAAAACUGGACUGUCUGUGGUACCUUUCCAGCUGAGUGCCCGAGUCCUCCCGUGCUGUCAAAUAAAGGAGUUAGAUCUUCACAUCCUUCGGGGUGGCAGUGACGCUCAGAUAAGUGAAGAAAACUCGUGUUCGUUUUCCUCUGUGUAUAUGUAAACGUCUGGGGGGUGUUGGCAGCUCCUGAUAGUGAUUAAUGGCCUUACAGUUUACAUAGAGUAUAGUGGUAGUUGCUUGUUGUUCUCAAGAAUGGAAUAAACAGGGCCUAUUCAUAAAGACAGUCUCCUCUUUGAUGCAGAAGUUCAGAUCUCCCAAUGUUUCUUUCUUUAGAUAGAUAUAUUACUACAAGACAGAGACAUAAUUGGUAAUUGUGCCUAGUUUUUGUAACAUCAGCUGUACCUAUUAAACGUGGACCCUUGAUUUGGUGAGCGAAGCCAGAAAACGUGCUAAAUCCUCACAAAUACAAUGUAAUGGUGUGUGAAAAAGCGAAGAAUAAAUUUCCCACUAAGUAUUCCUGCUAUACAGAAUGGGCACACAUAAAAUCAUGCAAGUCAGCGUGAUGAAUAGCAGCUUAACGUUUUUAUAGCCCUCCAUCCAGAAGAAUCUCACAGAAAUUAUUGUAUAGAAAUAGAAAACAAGGAUCAUUUUAACACUGGGAGCCUGGUCUUCCACAGAAGCUUUGCAGGCUGACGCUCUGUAUUUGAAACAAAGAUCCCCCUGGCAGUGCAGUGCAAGACAACAUUUUUUUUUAGAGUGUAUGAAAGUUUUUAAAUGACUGAAUACACCAAGGAGUUGAAGGCUGAACAACACUUGAAGCGCACAUAAGCUCGUACUUGAUAGUAAAGUCUGACUGACAUAUCAGUGCUUACUCUAAGCAGCAGGCAGAGGCACACCGGCUGGUUUGCUGCGUGUAAUCAGUUUGACAGCCCCCAGGAAUUGCCGAGUCUCCAUGACCCUGGAAAGACAGUUUGGCACAUAUAUUAAACAAAUACCUCCCCUCCAACUGUUUAUUCAUCUCCACUAGUCACAGACCUUCCCAGCCUGCGCUCACAUUAGCACUGAGUGGUUAGAUAAUGAUGGAAGAAUCUUCCACGUGUCCUCACAGUUGUUGCAGUCAGAACCCUCAGAUGAAAAUACUGCCGGAUUAAAUACUGCCUUUGAAGCAGGAUGGUGCUUCAGUAGCAGAGACAACACAGUGAGUAAUGUCGUAUAAUUGAGUAAAUCCAAUGAUUCCGUUGGGAUUUUUUUUUCCCCUUAGUUUUUGGCUAAGUUCCCAUUAGAUGUAGUUGCUAAACUUCAUUUUUAUUCUUUCCUAAACCAACAUUUUUAACUUAGCAGAGUGCUCGCCUGUAAUCUAGGAAGAGCUGGAUGGUCAUCUGACACUUUUUCUCAUUCCCAGAUACUAGAGACAAAAAGGCAGCCUAUACAUAUACAUAUACAUAUAUAUACAUAUAAACAAUGUAAAAAUAAAAUAAAAAUUCUUAGUCAGUGAGACCUAAGACACUUCUGAACAUGAGAUGUAGGCUCUUCAGAUCUGUGAGUGCUUAUGAAUGUUUUGUUUCUUCCUUUCUCAUAAGGUGAAGGGUUGUGAGUAGUGCAGGGAGCUGAAACGAUCUGUUCCUUCCAGAAUAUAAGGGGAAAAUGCUUACUGGAAGAUUCUCUUAAAGUUACAUUUGGAAUUGUGAAAUUAAGAGUCCCUGUCCAGAGAGACGUAUCUACCUGUCCAGAUGUGCUACUGCCACUUCCAGAUGUGGAUAUCCAUCUCCUCCAGCCUGAGGAGUUCACAGCUCAAGAUGGGAUCUGGAAUAUACAAAAGACUUGUUCAGAAACAUGUAUUGGCAUGUGCCAGAGUGGUUCUUCACUAUCUGCAGUGCCCGCAGGAUACUGAGAUUUCUCUGAUGCAUUCGUACCUGCAGAUCUUCCAGCCCUUUCGUUAGGGAUACUCAAUCACUAGUUCUGCAGGACAGAAUUAGGGCCAAUCCAUUCUGUGCUGAGGCUGUGGGAGCCUUCAGCCAAGCUCAGUACGGCUAGAAUGGUUUCACAGAAAAUGUCUGAAAAACAUUAGAUUUACUUGAAACAAUCUGAUCGUUAAUCAAUACCUGUUGUAGAUGGUUUAAUGUUUGCAUUUGAGGCUCUUCUACUACAUACAAUCUUGUGGAAUGAAAGCUCUGAACAGAAGUUGUUGGACAAACUGACCACUCACAGAAGGUAUUCCUAGGUAGAACAAUCAAUCACUAACAGACACUUUCAGACUGAAAUACUGCAAUAUUAAUACUGGGAGGUACUCUGGAAUAGCUGUGCCAGCUAUGUUUUAGUGUAGAAGGACCCAAAAUAAUAAACAGAGGAAGUAGCUAUUUGCCUUUGCUUUCUGCUCUGUCCAGAGAAAGACUAAUUUCCUUGUAGCUAGGGCAGAAGGUCCAGUACUGGAUAGAGUCCUUAUAAAUAGACACUGUAGAUCUGGAUCAAAAGUACUCAAAUCAUAGAAUGGCUUGGGUUGGAAGGGAACCUCAAAGAUCGUCUAGUUCCAACCCCCUGCUGUGGGCAGGGUUGCCAACCAUUAAAUGUGUGUGAAAGCUGAAUCAAAGGUUUAGGAUAUCUAAGCAGUAGGGAUGCAGCAAUGUUGAGGAGUCACAAAACUAUACUUUCUUCUUCUGUAGGUUUUCCUUCAGAGAGCUUCAGAUAAUCAUCUCUCACUUUUCCACUCGCGGGGAAGUUAAGAAGCACACCCCUUUUCCACAAACAGAAUCCAUAAACAUUUGCUUUCCAGUACUUUAUGGCCAAUUCUCUAAACUCGUAUUUAUCACCCCCUUACUCCUAUGAAGGAAAAUUCUUGCUGAGUCCUAAACCAAGUUGAGUUCUUCCAGAUUUGGGCCCUCAGGAAGAGCCAUAAAGACCACAGUUUUACGCAGUGUAUUCCAUCCAUUGUCUUGCUACCCAGGGGCAGCAGCUUUUGUGGGAAUCACGAAGGACUUCCCUUGUUACGGAGAGCGCUAUCGAUACGUGAACUCUCAGGGGAAGUAACCUCUGUUUCUAUGCAGGAAAUAUCAGAUUAAAACAAAUACACUGAAUAUUGCUCAGUGAAGAGUGAGUAUGAUAUUUACAAUCCUGCUGCCUCCAGUUGGCGUUACUCAGACAUCCGCAGCACGUCUUGAGCUUUCUGUGGGAGUGCAGUGACAGAAGAGGUGAAACAAAAAGGAGGAGAAUGCGUAGAGAUGUCAUACACAGUUUUUGCUAUAACAAUGCAUUGUACACAUUAUUCUUUUCAUCUGAGAAUGUCAAAGCUCGUAAAAGAAUCUAGCUAAAUAUAAAAACUCUGUGAGAAAAGUAAUUCUUGUAUUGAUUAACUACAUGCCAGAGUUAUCCAGUUAUCCCUCAUUAGAGCCAGAGACAGAAUGUAGGAAUAGAGCUAGGCUUCAGCUUCAGCUACAUAAAAUGCUGCUCGAGUUGCCAACAAUGAAGAUCUGCAAGUGGAAUUUGGUUAAUUGUGUCAGUCUGUAGGAACGCUUAUUAUUUGUGGGUAUUACAAUGGCUCUGAGAGUCCUGAGAGUCCUGUAACUGCCAUCCCUUUGCGCAAGGUGCUGUCUGAACACAAAGCAAAGAGGUGGCUCUGGCUUGGAAGGAUCUGAAGUCUUUGAGGACGUUGUUUGACUCAUUUUUCUGCUAGAAGGUCCUGCUUAUACAUUCCCCCCCCCUCCCCACAUUCCUCCUCUCUUCCCCAUCGUGCUGGCCUUGGAUUGUGCCAGUGCUGGUUUUUUUGUGCAGCCUCGUGUUAAACUGAAUCGGGAACCUGAUUUCAAUUAAAAAAUAGUCCUCAGAAAAACACUUAUUUUUAACUGAGACUAAUACUCUGAUCUGUUCCCUGCUGCAGAUGCACAAAGAAUGCCACAAGAGACAAGGUCGCGUAACGGCAGUGGCACGACUGGAAAAUAAUUUCAUCUGCCUUUACAAAGAAAGCUGAGGAGGGUGUAAAACAAAGUAGAGACCGUUUCCCUCCCACCACAGCCGUACGUCUAUUAUCUGACUCACCACUUCUGGGAUUCCUUCUGGCAGUGCUGGUUUUAUUGCAAUGAAAACUCAAGCGUGUGAAAAAUAUUCCCUAUUUUCUGAGGACUGUUCUAUUCUCUGUUCACUGUUUCGUUCAGGUCAGUAUUCCUUCCUUUAAAGGUUUGGAACUAAAGAUUCAGAAAGUGCUGUUCUUAAGCCUUGUGAGAAGGACUGGCACAGUGGAAAGGAAGGGGGAAGGGAGAAAUGAAAGGGGAGGAGAGUCCAUAUCUGAAGAGAGACUCCAGACUAGAGAAAUUUUACUGACAUCCAUUCAGUAUCCAGCAGGGUCUCCUUCAAGGGCUUUUACUGAGAUCCAAAGACUCUUGCAAUUCACAGAGGCAUUUACAUGCAACGUUGCCCUCUGGGAGCUAAGGUAUAACUGUACUCCUGGAUAAUAAUAACAAAGAAUACUACCAGAUUCCCAUUGAAAUGUCAACCAGGCACUACUGUUCUAGAGAGCAACAAAGAGAUGCUAAUAUAAUUAAUUAUGAAGCCUCAGUACCCUCAUUAACACUUCUUUAGUGCCCAGAUCUUUGAAAAUCAGCUGUAUAAAGUGACUGUCAGAGUUAAUUCCUUAUAAAUUGCCUCCUGUCACUGCAGCAAGUUCUCCCAGGCCGUGGUGAUGCUGAGAAAUCUGUUGUGUGGGAUUCUUUUUUUUUUCUUCUUCUUCUUUUUUUUUUUUUUUUUGUUAGUACUGAUGCAGUCGUAUUGGUUAUUAAAAGUUUAACAUAUAAAGGUUGAAUGAGCAGGAGUUUGUCAGGAUAGGAUAGAGCAAAAUCAAAAAGCCUUUAGAUAACCCAGCUUCCAUAGACUGGUAACACAAAUAGGGAAAGUUUGAAUUGCUUAAAUGGAAAACUAAGGAAAAACAGGAACGAAAGGUGUGACAUUUGGCAUUAAGAUGUUUCCGGACCUUUUUCAAUGUGAGGAUGGCAGCCAGUUUAUAGCCUUCUCUCCUCCUACUGCCUUUACGACAGCAUUUCAGCUCCAGGCCUCAUUCCGAUGCAUCCUCCCUCCCCACCACUCCCGCUUACAAAUAUAUAUUUCAAUAGGCUUAGGCUGCACGGAGUUCCAAACCCAGCAUGUAAUGGGUACAAUUGUUUUCACGCUUUUCCACAGAGAGCCACAUUCAUGCCUUUUGGGGCUCUGCUUUGUCAUGUUCUUGCUCUUUUUUUUCUUUAAGUUAGACCGGGAUCAGAACCCUACACAAACACUAACAAAAAAGCUCAACAAACCACCUACGUUUGCAGUUCAUUCCGUUACAUCCCCCUACCAUUCCGUCUCCUAAAGGAUAUAAAGAAGCAAUCUGUUAGAGAAGAAACCUGGUCAUUAGAGAUCACUUUGCAUUUUUUGCAGCAGUAGAAACACUGAAUGGUGACGUAGCAAACUGUACACAACAGCCUGCUCAAUCUUCUGUGUACUUCUGUACUUUUGAGGAGAUUUUCUGCAGUGUAAAAUUGCAUGGGGUUAUCUGUGUUUGUACAGUGUGCUCCAAGACCCUUUGGGCUCCUUGCUAUGUGUAGGAUAACAGACUGAUCUUAAUGGGAUAUUCUUAUUCACCAUUUCAGAAGUGGCUGUAGCACCAGGUGUAAGAUGAUUUUGCUGUUCCAGCUAAACUGACAACAUGCAAACUCUUUAAACGGAGGUAAAGUUUAUAUUAACAAAAGUAGUCCUUACAAAUGGGGCUGUCCUUCCUACUGUAUUUGCUGGCAUUAUUAGGAAAAUGGUUUUAUUCUCCACUCUUAGAUCACAUAUCAACGUCUCAGUAAAGCUAUGAUGUAUUGAUCACUCAGUGUUUAUAUAAUUCAUAUUUAAUAAACAGAAGUGCAAAGGAUGCUCCAAAAGUAAUGCAUCCUAUUUUAUGAUGUUGGCCCACAAUGUCAGAGGCAGAUGGUGGUGGUAUGGCAGUAGAGGCUGAACCUUCUUGCUCAUUGCUGGCAAAAAUACACAGCUAAUGGUGGUGACUGUGUAGAAAGAUGGCGUUUUGUAACUGAGAAUUUGCUUUAUCAACUCGUGUUAUUGUACUCUUUGCAUCUGUUGUAGUUUCCAUGGAAAUAAAUAGGAGGCAUUACUUUCAGAGCAACCUAUGCUUGAAAUUAAAUAUCUAGCUUUCUGAAGAGCAGUCAAGAACUAUCACACAAAUUGUGCUUGCUUUACAUAAAUAUAAAUUCGAUAGAACUUCGUAGAAUGUAACUAUUUCAGAAUGGCCUUUUAGAAACAGCUUAUCUGCAAGAGAUGCUACUUGGACGAAUAGUACCUAUUUGCAGUGCUUUUUGAGAUAUUCAGGUGCUUCACACAUACCAACUCAAAUUUGAACAGCUGUUUGAGAUGCUAUAAACAUAGUAUGAGUUGGUAAAUUGAUACACAGAUCGGAUAAAUAAUAUUUAGUCACAUACAAUGAAUACGGAAUUAAUUUAAUGGAUCUCAGUGUUUUCUUCCAUGCUGUCAGCACUGCAGCGGGUCAGCUACCUUUUAAGGGUGGGAUGCCAGAUUGUACAUUUAUUUCUGAGAUUAGAUGGUGGGCAUGCUGAUAUAAGCUCAGCAGGAAUGAGGGGAUGCUGUGUCUAAAAAGAGAGAGCUGCUGCCAAUCAUAUUGCUGACAGUAUCUUGUCUGUGUCCAAAGCAGAGGCUCCCAGCUGCCACCACACUUGCAGCACCACGACAGCCAGAAAUUGGGAUCCCAAGCCUUUCGAUAUGCCAUGGCUCCUGGCCCUGUGCCAGCUCUUCCUUGCCGUUCAGAAUCCGCCUGCAUGGAGUCUUCACACUCCUGUGGUGGCAGCUUGCUGCCACCUGCAACAAAGCAAGCUUUCCCUAUGCUCCUUCCACAAAGGUAUCCCAUUUUUGUCACGUUGGACUGAAGUCUCUUAUUAUCGAUGUGGGAAUAGCUAUGGGAUAUACAAUACCUGUACUGUGCAAGAAAUCCUACCUAUAAUGUUUAAAAGGGACCCCUCCUCCCAUUCUGAUUCUACAAACCCUAACAGAUCUAUGACUAAUGGAGAUGGAUUAUUUUUAUAACAUAUAAUGCAUGUAUGUGCAACAGAACUUCAGAAAUGAGCCAACAUCUUUUCUGCCAAAAUUUCAAGUAUCAUUUUCAAAGCAAACGGGAUCGCAUUUGCAGAGGGAAUUUGGGCAAGGGGUGGGGGAAGAACAAGGUCAGGAGUGGAGAAUAAUGUAUAAGCCCUGUAUGAAUGAACCCAAAGAAGCAAUGGCUAGAGGACUCACACAGCCUGAGGUUACACACUUGGAAUCCACAUGAGGGCCUGAGCCCUCGUUAAGCUGCUGAACAUCUAGCUGGCUGCACAGAUGCUGUGCUCUGAAUGCAGCACAGCUGUGGUGACCUUGCCUUCCAUCAGGUUUAGUGAAUGUCUGAACACCUGUUUUUUUAAACCACAGAUUUCUAACAGCAACAACAACGAUUUGUACGUAAGCAAUGCAUCCACAAAGUAUCUAUCACAUACAGUUGAAGCAGUGCUCUAGUUUAGGGACUAGGGUCCUGUUUUUCCUUCUGCCAUACAUGUUCAGCACGGUGUAGCUUACAACACUUACACUUCAAAUGCCCACUGUUAAAAAAAAACAAAAUCAGCAGCUCUGGUAGCUCACUACCUCAGGGGUAAAGGAAGAUUCUUGUGAUGUUUCUGGAGUACAAGAUGAGGGGUAUCACUGGUAACACUAAAGAUGAACAGAUUUCAGCCAGCUCCCUACAGGUCUUGCAUUUGAACUCCAUGAUCACCAUCUACAGAAGCACAAUAGGAUGCAACUGUUGUUGAAAACAGCAUGGGGUACACCAAGCUACUGGUGAACCUAAAAGAGCAUCCUUUCAAACAAUGCUACAAAUGUCAGGGCUUUCCAGUCAUUUUCCUCUUGGGUCAUACCUGCUUGUCUUCUUGCCUUCACGUUUGUACAGUCCUGAUUGUUUUUCUCCACGGAUAUCACCAUUUAAUGCAAACUUGAGGGCCUCACUGAUGGUACCCUCUAGAUCAGCAGAGCAAACAACCUCACUCUAAAGCAAAUGACCUC